RNAcentral lists this ribosomal RNA (429 nucleotides) under uncultured bacterium. RNAcentral describes it as "bacterial SSU rRNA". It matches the Rfam family "Bacterial small subunit ribosomal RNA", at positions 30 to 507 of the family's 1533-position model. The record is from RNAcentral.
AUUGAACGCUGGCGGCAUGCAUAACACAUGCAAGUCUAACGGUUUUAUUACAGUGACGGACGGGUGAGUAAAAGUAAGAAUCUACACUUAGGAGGAGGAUAACAAUUGGAAACGUUUGCUAAUACUCCAUAAUGCUGUAAAGCUAAAGUUUUUCGCCUAGGUAUGAGCUUGCGUCUGAUUAGCUUGUUGGUGAGGUAAAUGCUUACCAAGGCUAUGAUCAGUAGUUGGUUUUAGAGGAUGGUCAGCCACACUGGGACUGAGACACGGAACAGACUCCUACGGGAGGCAGCAGUGAGGAAUUUUCCGCAAUGAGUGAAAGCUUGACGGAGCAAUGCCGCGUGGAGGAAGAAGGCCUUAGGGUUGUAAUCUCCUUUUCUCAUUGAAGAAGUUCUGACGGUAUUUGAGGAAUAAGCAUCGGCUAACUUCGUG